GGCGUGCAUGGUUGUCGUCAGCUCGUGUCGUGAGAUGUUGGGUUAAGUCCCGCAACGAGCGCAACCCCUAUUGCUAGUUACCAUCAUUAAGUUGGGGACUCUAGCGAGACUGCCAGUGAUAAACUGGAGGAAGGUGGGGAUGACGUCAAAUCAUCAUGCCCCUUAUGACCUGGGCUACAAACGUGAUACAAUGGCUGGAACAAAGGGAUGCGAAGCAGUGAUGUGGAGCGAAACCCAUAAAAACAGUCUCAGUUCGGAUUGAAGUCUGCAACUCGACUUCAUGAAGUCGGAAUCGCUAGUAAUCGCGGAUCAGAACGCCGCGGUGAAUACGUUCUCGGGGUUU
Molecule: ribosomal RNA, 343 nt
Filed under: uncultured Acholeplasma sp.
Lineage: Bacteria; Bacillati; Mycoplasmatota; Mollicutes; Acholeplasmatales; Acholeplasmataceae
Description: bacterial SSU rRNA
Rfam family: Bacterial small subunit ribosomal RNA
Source: RNAcentral